UAAUGAAGGAACAUUGGUAAUGUGCACGGAUAUUGAAGCAGUGGGGUUAAGAUGUCUGUCCCCACCGAUGCCGCCCGGCUUUUAUCUGAGGGCCUGGUUAAGACCCACAUCU
Small nucleolar RNA from Cannabis sativa, 112 nucleotides. RefSeq annotates it as small nucleolar RNA snoR100. Lineage: Eukaryota; Viridiplantae; Streptophyta; Magnoliopsida; Rosales; Cannabaceae. The record is from RefSeq and is a predicted model, not a curated record. The transcript has a single exon.